CAAUAGCCAAGACAUGGAAACAACCUAAAUGUCCAUCGACAGAAGCGUGGAUCAAAAAGAAGUGGUACAUAUACACAAUGGAAUAUUACUCAGCCAUUAAAAGGAACAAAGUAAAGGCAACUGGGACAACAUGGAUGGACCUAGAAAUUAUCACGGUAAGUGAAGUCAGUCAGACAAAGAGACACCAACAUCAAAUGCCAUCAUUUACAUGUGGAAUCUCAAAAAAGGACACAAUCAACUUCUUUGUAGAACAGAUGCUGACUCACAGACUUUGAAAAACUUACAGUUUCCAAAUGAGACAGUGUGGGGGGUGGGGGGAUGCGCUAGGGGUUUGUGAUAGAAAUGCUAUAAAAUUGGGUUGUGACAAUAAUUGUGCAACUAUAAAUGUAAUUCAUUCAUUGAGUAAUUAAAAAGUCAAAAAAAGUAAAAAAAAAAAAAAAGAAAAGAAAAGAAACCGACACUUAUCAUAGUGAUGGCACUGUUUUUAUCAGCAGCUGUCAAUUAAGAUAAGGCUUUGGAGGAAAAGAAAAUCACCUCUAUUUUAGGCAUAGUCAGUAUUUUUGAGAUUUUUGAGAGGAGUUUGGUUUUUUGUUAUAUGGUGUUUAGAAAAAAAUGAGAGGAGUUCCCGUCGUGGCUCAGUGGUUAAAGAAUCCGACUAGGAACCAUGAGGUUGUGGGUUCGGACCCUGGCCUUACUCAGUGUGUUAAGGAUCUGGCAUUGCUGUGAGCUGUGGUGUAGGUCACAGAUGCAGCUCAGAUCUGGCGUGGCUGUGGCUGUGGUGUAGGCCGAAGCCUUGGGCAGAGGGUCUCAGGAGCAAAACCACGGUUCCGAGAAAGACCAGCUGCUUGAGGCUGGUGGGAGGCAAGCAGGGUCCAAAGUGAGGGGCUACAGAGGCGGACAGACAAGGGGUCGAGGGGGGCGGGAGGAUCUCCUGAGUCAGGAGCAGCACCUGCAGGGAACUCGCCGCCGAGGGAUCUUCAAGCAGGACGGGAGCCGCUGCGGUCGGUCCCCAGGCUUCAGCCCGCGCUGCCCAGUCUUGGAAGACGGGAAGCGCCCAUGACCUGCCCAGAGCUGGCAAGGCUGCCCGUUUCUGAUGCUCCCUUCAGUUUCCUGAGAAGGAGGGGGAUGGGGUGCGUGGCCAGUCGCUAGAGAGGAGGCCUGCGAAGCGUGGGCAGGACUAAAAGCUUGAUCCAGCCUCUGCUGUCACGUCUCAAACCAGGGUGGCCACUGAAGAGAACAAGCGAGCCGGGUACAAAGGGCACAAGGCCGGGGACCAGGGGUCCCUGUCCUCAGCCUCUCGGCUCUCCACGUGCCUGGCCACCCACGAGGCGUGAAGGCCACCAGCAUGGGGUCUUGCUGCUCACCUCGAGUUGGAGGUCACUGCACAAGGGCAGGGCGACCUCCCGUUUGUUUUAUGAUCUGCUUUUAAAAGCAAAGAAUUUUGAAACUGAAAAAGAUGAAUGUGUCAAAUGUUCCCUUUUACAUUGUUUUUACUGCACUUUGCACAAUACAUGCGUUCUCUGGGUUAACUGCAGUCAUCUUAUUUUUUCCGCCUCUUUUUCCAUUACUGCAUAUGCCUUUUUGCUUAGUAACAGAAUUUCCACUGAUUUUUCUUUCAUUUUUUAAAAAACAUGCUCCAUUCAAAAGCUAAAGAAUACAAGAAAGUCAAAGAUUAAAAAAUCAUAGAGCCUUCAAGGAAUCAUUUAAUUUAUUUAACAAUUGGAAGAGUUUCUUUUCAGUCUUUUUUUCUAGGAAGUUAUUCUUUUCUUCUCU
This 1773-nucleotide long non-coding RNA is filed under the name Sus scrofa (pig). RNAcentral's name for it is "lncRNA (ENSSSCG00040012475.1)". The record is from RNAcentral. Lineage: Eukaryota; Metazoa; Chordata; Mammalia; Artiodactyla; Suidae.